RNAcentral lists this ribosomal RNA (590 nucleotides) under bacterium fme09x26p190. Its description in RNAcentral is "bacterial SSU rRNA". It matches the Rfam family "Bacterial small subunit ribosomal RNA", at positions 76 to 666 of the family's 1533-position model. The record is from RNAcentral.
GAGCUUGCUCCGCUGACGACCGGCGAACGGGUGCGUAACGCGUAUAGAAUCUACCUCUUACUAAGGGAUAGCCCAGAGAAAUUUGGAUUAAUAUCUUAUAGUAUGUUAACUUGGCAUCAAGAUGACAUUAAAGGUUACGGUAAGAGAUGACUAUGCGUCCUAUUAGCUAGAUGGUGUGGUAACGGCACACCAUGGCAACGAUAGGUAGGGGCCCUGAGAGGGGGAUCCCCCACACUGGUACUGAGACACGGACCAGACUCCUACGGGAGGCAGCAGUGAGGAAUAUUGGACAAUGGAGGCAACUCUGAUCCAGCCAUGCCGCGUGCAGGAAGACUGCCCUAUGGGUUGUAAACUGCUUUUAUACAGGAAGAAACACUCUCACGUGUGAGAGCUUGACGGUACUGUAAGAAUAAGGAUCGGCUAACUCCGUGCCAGCAGCCGCGGUAAUACGGAGGAUCCAAGCGUUAUCCGGAAUCAUUGGGUUUAAAGGGUCCGUAGGUGGAUAAUUAAGUCAGAGGUGAAAUCCUGCAGCUCAACUGUAGAAUUGCCUUUGAUACUGGUUAUCUUGAGUUAUUAUGAAGUAGUUAGAA